RNAcentral lists this ribosomal RNA (484 nucleotides) under uncultured bacterium. Its description in RNAcentral is "partial 16S ribosomal RNA". It matches the Rfam family "Bacterial small subunit ribosomal RNA", at positions 30 to 507 of the family's 1533-position model. The record is from RNAcentral.
AUUGAACGCUAGCGGGAUGCUUUACACAUGCAAGUCGAACGGCAGCGCGGACUUCGGUCUGGCGGCGAGUGGCGAACGGGUGAGUAAUGUAUCGGAACGUGCCCAGUAGCGGUGGAUAACUACGCGAAAGCGUAGCUAAUACCGCAUACGCCCUGCGGGGGAAAGCAGGGGAUCGUAAGACCUUGCACUAUUGGAUCGGCCGAUAUCGGAUUAGCUAGUUGGUGAGGUAACGGCUCACCAAGGCGACGAUCCGUAGCUGGUUUGAGAGGACGACCAGCCACACUGGGACUGAGACACGGCCCAGACUCCUACGGGAGGCAGCAGUGGGGAAUUUUGGACAAUGGGGGCAACCUUGAUCCAGCCAUCCCGCGUGUGCGAUGAAGGCCUUCGGGUUGUAAAGCACUUUUGGCAGGAAAGAAACGUCGCGGGCUAAUAACCCGUGGAACUGACGGUACCUGCAGAAUAAGCACCGGCUAACUACGUG